This 597-nucleotide unclassified non-coding RNA is filed under the name uncultured Russula. RNAcentral describes it as "sequence contains ITS1, 5.8S rRNA gene and ITS2". The stretch from base 147 to 300 matches the Rfam family "5.8S ribosomal RNA". The record is from RNAcentral. Lineage: Eukaryota; Fungi; Basidiomycota; Agaricomycetes; Russulales; Russulaceae.
UGCCCUCACACACAUCCAUCUCACCCCUAUGUGCACCACCGCGUGGGUCCCCCUUUGGCUUGUUCGGAGGGGGGCUUACGUUUUCACACAAACUUUGUAUGCAGUGUAGAAUGUAUUUUUUGUUUUUGCGAUCACGCAAUCAAUACAACUUUCAACAACGGAUCUCUUGGCUCUCGCAUCGAUGAAGAACGCAGCGAAAUGCGAUACGUAAUGUGAAUUGCAGAAUUCAGUGAAUCAUCGAAUCUUUGAACGCACCUUGCGCCCCUUGGCAUUCCGAGGGGCACACCCGUUUGAGUGUCGUGAAAUUCUCAAAAACCUUUUUCUUUUUGGGAAAGGGUUUUUGGACUUGGAGGCUUUUUGCUGGCUUCACCUUGAAGUGAGCUCCUCCUAAAUGAAUCAGUGGGGUCCGCUUUGCCGAUCCUUGACGUGAUAAGAUGUUUCUGCGUCUUUGGGUUUGGCACUGUCACCUGCUUCUAACUGUCUCAUUGACAAUGAUGGUGCUCCGGUCACCACCGCUCUUAUCGGUGGGAGGCUUGACCCACAAAAACAAAACCUUGACCUCAAAUCGGGUGAGACUACCCGCUGAACUUAAGCAUA